This 25-nucleotide non-coding RNA is filed under the name Mus musculus (house mouse). The record is from RNAcentral. Lineage: Eukaryota; Metazoa; Chordata; Mammalia; Rodentia; Muridae.
UGGAAAAGGAAGCAGGCUUUGCGAA